UACAGAGGGUGCAAGCGUUAAUCGGAAUUACUGGGCGUAAAGCGUGCGUAGUCGGUUAUCUAAGUCGGGUGUGAAUCCCCGGGCUCAACCUGGGAACUGCAUCUGUGACUGACAUCGCUUGGAGUGCGGCAGGAGGGGGAUGGAAUUCCGCGUGUAGCAGUGAAAUGCGUAGAUAUGCGGAGGAACACCGAUGGCGAAGGCAUCCCCUGGGCCUGCACUGACGCUCAUGCACGAAAGCGUGGGGAGCAAACAGG
Molecule: ribosomal RNA, 254 nt
Filed under: uncultured bacterium
Lineage: Bacteria
Description: partial 16S ribosomal RNA
Rfam family: Bacterial small subunit ribosomal RNA
Source: RNAcentral